Neocloeon triangulifer is the source of this 580-nucleotide long non-coding RNA. RefSeq lists it as uncharacterized. The record is from RefSeq and is a predicted model, not a curated record. NCBI's taxonomy places the organism in Eukaryota, Metazoa, Arthropoda, Insecta, Ephemeroptera, Baetidae. The transcript has 2 exons.
GCAUCUUUAGUUGGUGUCGGUCCGUGGCUCUCGCUGGUGCUACUCUCGUUGACACGUCCGCAAAAUGCCCAGCGAGACCUCCAACAUCUUCACCACCUACUUCAUCCUCAUCUUCCUGCUCUUCCUCCUCUGGCUCUUGUACUCGGGAAUUUUCUAAACGAUGGACGCGUUACCUGCCGGCCGAGAGGCGUGACGGAGGCGGCGGCGAACCGCACGCAAACACCCUUUGACUACCCCCGCGCCGAAAUGCAGCCCCGGCCACCCUCUCCGCCACCUAAUUAGAUAAUAUUCCACGUCCGCAACUAACCCUGCCCGAGCGCAAACAGCAGAUUUACUUUGCUUCAUUAGACGAACCCUCUCUGUCAUUUUCAGUCGCGGUCGACGACCUUUUCCUUUGAAGUGACCAUUUUCCAUCUCUCAAAUUACGCACAGCUCUUUUCGCUCGGGCACUCUAUUAUAUUAGAAAAGAAAAUAUGUAUUCAAUUAUAUUGCAUUUUUAUAAAAGUGUAUUUGCAUAUUUUGCACGUUCAGCAACCACUAACGAAUUCAAUUAUGUAUAAUUAGGAAAAUAAAACAAAAA